RNAcentral lists this transfer RNA (77 nucleotides) under Yersinia ruckeri. Its description in RNAcentral is "tRNA-Val". The stretch from base 8 to 66 matches the Rfam family "tRNA", at positions 8 to 63 of the family's 71-position model. From Rfam's summary of the family: Transfer RNA (tRNA) molecules are approximately 80 nucleotides in length. Their secondary structure includes four short double-helical elements and three loops (D, anti-codon, and T loops). Lineage: Bacteria; Pseudomonadati; Pseudomonadota; Gammaproteobacteria; Enterobacterales; Yersiniaceae. The record is from RNAcentral.
CUACCCAUAGCUCAGUUGGUUAGAGCACCACCUUGACAUGGUGGGGGUCGGUGGUUCGAGUCCACUCGGACGCACCA